This 253-nucleotide ribosomal RNA is filed under the name uncultured bacterium. RNAcentral's name for it is "partial 16S ribosomal RNA". It matches the Rfam family "Bacterial small subunit ribosomal RNA", at positions 524 to 776 of the family's 1533-position model. The record is from RNAcentral.
UACGAAGGGGGCUAGCGUUGCUCGGAAUCACUGGGCGUAAAGCGUGCGUAGGCGGUGUCUUAAGUUUGUUGUGAAAUCUCCCGGCUUAACCGGGAGGGUGCGGCGAAUACUGAGAUGCUGGAGUGCCGGAGAGGUAAGCGGAAUUCCUGGUGUAGCGGUGAAAUGCGUAGAUAUCAGGAGGAACACCUGCGGUGUAGACGGCUUACUGGACGGUAACUGACGCUGAGGCACGAAAGCGUGGGUAGCAAACAGG